RNAcentral lists this ribosomal RNA (169 nucleotides) under uncultured bacterium. RNAcentral's name for it is "partial 16S ribosomal RNA". It matches the Rfam family "Bacterial small subunit ribosomal RNA", at positions 339 to 525 of the family's 1533-position model. The record is from RNAcentral.
CUACGGGAGGCAGCAGUAGGGAAUAUUGCUCAAUGGGCGAAAGCCUGAAGCAGCAACGCCGCGUGGAGGAUGAAGGUUUUAGGAUUGUAAACUCCUUUUGUUAGAGAAGAUUAUGACGGUAUCUAACGAAUAAGCACCGGCUAACUCCGUGCCAGCAGCCGCGGUAAUA